RNAcentral lists this ribosomal RNA (1568 nucleotides) under Enterococcus hirae. Its description in RNAcentral is "bacterial SSU rRNA". It matches the Rfam family "Bacterial small subunit ribosomal RNA". The record is from RNAcentral. Lineage: Bacteria; Bacillati; Bacillota; Bacilli; Lactobacillales; Enterococcaceae.
UUUUAUGAGAGUUUGAUCCUGGCUCAGGACGAACGCUGGCGGCGUGCCUAAUACAUGCAAGUCGAACGCUUCUUUUUCCAUCGGAGCUUGCUCCACCGGAAAAAGAGGAGUGGCGAACGGGUGAGUAACACGUGGGUAACCUGCCCAUCAGAAGGGGAUAACACUUGGAAACAGGUGCUAAUACCGUAUAACAAUCGAAACCGCAUGGUUUUGAUUUGAAAGGCGCUUUCGGGUGUCGCUGAUGGAUGGACCCGCGGUGCAUUAGCUAGUUGGUGAGGUAACGGCUCACCAAGGCGACGAUGCAUAGCCGACCUGAGAGGGUGAUCGGCCACAUUGGGACUGAGACACGGCCCAAACUCCUACGGGAGGCAGCAGUAGGGAAUCUUCGGCAAUGGACGAAAGUCUGACCGAGCAACGCCGCGUGAGUGAAGAAGGUUUUCGGAUCGUAAAACUCUGUUGUUAGAGAAGAACAAGGAUGAGAGUAACUGUUCAUCCCUUGACGGUAUCUAACCAGAAAGCCACGGCUAACUACGUGCCAGCAGCCGCGGUAAUACGUAGGUGGCAAGCGUUGUCCGGAUUUAUUGGGCGUAAAGCGAGCGCAGGCGGUUUCUUAAGUCUGAUGUGAAAGCCCCCGGCUCAACCGGGGAGGGUCAUUGGAAACUGGGAGACUUGAGUGCAGAAGAGGAGAGUGGAAUUCCAUGUGUAGCGGUGAAAUGCGUAGAUAUAUGGAGGAACACCAGUGGCGAAGGCGGCUCUCUGGUCUGUAACUGACGCUGAGGCUCGAAAGCGUGGGGAGCAAACAGGAUUAGAUACCCUGGUAGUCCACGCCGUAAACGAUGAGUGCUAAGUGUUGGAGGGUUUCCGCCCUUCAGUGCUGCAGCUAACGCAUUAAGCACUCCGCCUGGGGAGUACGACCGCAAGGUUGAAACUCAAAGGAAUUGACGGGGGCCCGCACAAGCGGUGGAGCAUGUGGUUUAAUUCGAAGCAACGCGAAGAACCUUACCAGGUCUUGACAUCCUUUGACCACUCUAGAGAUAGAGCUUCCCCUUCGGGGGCAAAGUGACAGGUGGUGCAUGGUUGUCGUCAGCUCGUGUCGUGAGAUGUUGGGUUAAGUCCCGCAACGAGCGCAACCCUUAUUGUUAGUUGCCAUCAUUUAGUUGGGCACUCUAGCAAGACUGCCGGUGACAAACCGGAGGAAGGUGGGGAUGACGUCAAAUCAUCAUGCCCCUUAUGACCUGGGCUACACACGUGCUACAAUGGGAAGUACAACGAGUCGCAAAGUCGCGAGGCUAAGCUAAUCUCUUAAAGCUUCUCUCAGUUCGGAUUGUAGGCUGCAACUCGCCUACAUGAAGCCGGAAUCGCUAGUAAUCGCGGAUCAGCACGCCGCGGUGAAUACGUUCCCGGGCCUUGUACACACCGCCCGUCACACCACGAGAGUUUGUAACACCCGAAGUCGGUGAGGUAACCUUUUGGAGCCAGCCGCCUAAGGUGGGAUAGAUGAUUGGGGUGAAGUCGUAACAAGGUAGCCGUAUCGGAAGGUGCGGCUGGAUCACCUCCUUUCUAAGGAA